RNAcentral lists this ribosomal RNA (466 nucleotides) under uncultured bacterium. Its description in RNAcentral is "partial 16S ribosomal RNA". It matches the Rfam family "Bacterial small subunit ribosomal RNA", at positions 28 to 507 of the family's 1533-position model. The record is from RNAcentral.
GGCGAACGCUGGCGGCGUGCUUAACACAUGCAAGUCGAACGGAAAGGCCCUGCUUGCAGGGUACUCGAGUGGCGAACGGGUGAGUAACACGUGGGUGAUCUGCCCUGCACUUCGGGAUAAGCUUGGGAAACUGGGUCUAAUACCGGAUAGGAGCCAUCUUUAGUGUGGUGGUUGGAAAGUUUUUUCGGUGUAGGAUGAGCUCGCGGCCUAUCAGCUUGUUGGUGGGGUAAUGGCCUACCAAGGCGGCGACGGGUAGCCGGCCUGAGAGGGUGUACGGCCACAUUGGGACUGAGAUACGGCCCAGACUCCUACGGGAGGCAGCAAUGGGGAAUAUUGCACAAUGGGCGCAAGCCUGAUGCAGCGACGCCGCGUGGGGGAUGAAGGCCUUCGGGUUGUAAACUCCUUUCGCUAGGGACGAAGCUUUUUUGUGACGGUACCUAGAUAAGAAGCACCGGCUAACUACGUG